GUCAGACUGGUUCCAUAGUAGAACCUUCACUGUAAAAAUGUCAUAUUAUGGUGUGUUGCUUAAAAACAUUGCAACCAGCUGUCUAGGAGCGACACAAAAACAGGACAAACGCUGGUUUCCAGGGGGUUGAAAGAGUAAGUUUACAACAACACAACAUGUGAGCAGAAAAAUCACAAAGUGUGUCUUUAUGUGGCCGGAUGGUUUCUCCCUCCUAGCCACUGUGUGGCACUGUGCUAUUUCAAUCAUCGCUGUGACAGCGGGGUGGUAUCCGGCGCCGCUGCAUAUAUAUACACAGGUGGGUGGUUUCACCUCAGUCUCAUGCUUUCUCUUGAGCUCUCCCCGUGGUGGUAACUGCAGCCAAGCGGGCUGGAUCUGGCGUGAUCAAUCGGGACGCACAUCACAUCAUCGGUACAGGUAAUGGGCUUUUCCCCCUUCCCUUUUGUGAUGUGCAGCGCAUUUAGUGACAGCCUGCUUUACUUUGUUUAGUGACGCUGGGAGACGGGUCGCUCCGUUCAGCGUGCCGUGGGUGCUUCUGUGACGACAGGGUUUGGUGAGCCUCGGCGGCAGUUUAAUCCCUGGUGGUGGUUCACGGAUCCCUUUUCGUUGGUGUGUUGUCACAGGUGUGAUUAUUUGGACCCCCUUUUUCUUCCUUUUGGUUAUUUGUUUGCCUGCCGCCAUGGUAAGCCAGCCUGCUCCCUUUAUUGUUUAAGUUUAGUACUCCUGAUUCUCUCUUUUAAACUGGUGGCUUGCUUUUUAUAUUUAAUGCCAUAAUUAAUAAAGAAAUUGUUGUAUUUUUGGAAA
Long non-coding RNA from Acanthochromis polyacanthus (spiny chromis), 801 nucleotides. RefSeq lists it as uncharacterized. NCBI's taxonomy places the organism in Eukaryota, Metazoa, Chordata, Actinopteri, Pomacentridae. The transcript is spliced from 2 exons. The record is from RefSeq and is a predicted model, not a curated record.